This 207-nucleotide ribosomal RNA is filed under the name uncultured bacterium. Its description in RNAcentral is "partial 16S ribosomal RNA". It matches the Rfam family "Bacterial small subunit ribosomal RNA", at positions 568 to 774 of the family's 1533-position model. The record is from RNAcentral.
AGCGCAGGCGGUCUUUUAAGUCUGAUGUGAAAGCCUUCGGCUUAACCGGAGAAGUGCAUCGGAAACUGGGAGACUUGAGUGCAGAAGAGGACAGUGGAACUCCAUGUGUAGCGGUGAAAUGUGUAGAUAUAUGGAAGAACACCAGUGGCGAAGGCGGCUGUCUGGUCUGUAACUGACGCUGAGGCUCGAAAGCAUGGGUAGCGAACA